This 532-nucleotide ribosomal RNA is filed under the name Colotis amata. Its description in RNAcentral is "partial 16S ribosomal RNA". The stretch from base 396 to 532 matches the Rfam family "Bacterial large subunit ribosomal RNA", at positions 2473 to 2610 of the family's 2925-position model. Lineage: Eukaryota; Metazoa; Arthropoda; Insecta; Lepidoptera; Pieridae. The record is from RNAcentral.
AAAAACAUGUCUUUUUGAAAAUAAUUUAAAGUCAAAUCUGCCCACUGAAUUAAUUUUAAAGGGCUGCAGUAUAUUGACUGUACAAAGGUAGCAUAAUCAUUAGUCUUUUAAUUGAAGACUUGUAUGAAUGAUUUGAUGAGAUAUGAACUGUCUCUUUAUUAAAAAUAAAAUUUAAUUUUUUAGUUAAAAAGCUAAAAUUUAUAUAAAAGACGAGAAGACCCUAUAGAGUUUAAUAUUUUUAAAAAAUUAAAUUUUAUAUAAAUUUUUAAAUUUAAUUUUUUAAAAAUAUUUUGUUGGGGUGAUAGAAAAAUUUAAUAAACUUUUUUUAAAAAUUAUACAUUGAUUUAUGAAUUUUUGAUCCAUAAUUUAUGAUUAUAAGAAUAAAUUACCUUAGGGAUAACAGCGUAAUUUUUUUUUUUAGUUCAAAUAAAAAUUAAAGUUUGCGACCUCGAUGUUGGAUUAAGAUAAAAUUUAAAUGCAAAAGUUUAAAAUUUUGAUCUGUUCGAUCAUUAAAAUCUUACAUGAUCUGAGC